This is a long non-coding RNA of Acinonyx jubatus (cheetah), 3726 nucleotides long. RefSeq lists it as uncharacterized. The transcript is spliced from 3 exons. Lineage: Eukaryota; Metazoa; Chordata; Mammalia; Carnivora; Felidae. The record is from RefSeq and is a predicted model, not a curated record.
UUGUUGUUGAAUUCUUUUUUCAACGUUUUUUAUUUAUUUUUGGGACAGAGAGAGACAGAGCAUGAGCGGGGGAGGGGCAGAGAGAGAGGGAGACACAGAAUCGGAAACAGGCUCCAGGCUCCGAGCCAUCAGCCCAGAGCCUGACGCGGGGCUCGAACUCAUGGACUGCGAGAUCGUGACCUGGCUGAAGUCGGACGCUUAACCGACUGCGCCACCCAGGCGCCCCUGUUGUUGAAUUAUUAAAUCAUUUUUUGUUUGCUUUCUUGGUAUGUGAGAAAGGUCCACCUGGCACCUUGAGCCUUAAACCUAAACCAUAAAGGAAGCAUCACUAUUAACUUCUUUCUAAAAAAAAUAGUGCCUCUGGACAACUAAUAUUUAUUGAGCCUUUACCAUGUAUUAGGCACAAGGUUUUAUGUUUCGCAUUCUUAUUGAAUCCUCAUUGUAAUCUAUAGGUCAAUAAUAUCUUUUCGCCAUACUUUAGAUUAAGAAGCUAGAACUUUCAGGGGCACCUGGGUGGCACAGUUGGUUAAGCAACCGACUUCGGCUCGGGUCAUGAUCUCAGUUUGUGGGCUCAAGCCUCCAUGGGGCUCUGUGCUGACAGCCCUGAGCCUGGAGCCCACUUCCGAUUCUGUGUCUCCCUCUCCCUCUGCCCCUCCCCCACUCGUGCUUUGUUUCUGUCUCAAAAAUGAAUACACAUUAAAAAAAAAAAAAGCUAGAACUUUCAGAGAUUGGUAAUUUUCCCAAGGUUCUACAACUAAUAAGCAGUGAAGAUGUAACUCUACCCUUACCCAUGCAGCCCCUGGACAUGCCCUCCUAGCCAAUGCUUUGCACGGCCCCUCUGACUGGGGCCCUGGGGAGUUAGUGUAGUUCAAAACCCAGAAAGCCGGUGCCUCCCACUUGCCACCUUCUUCUGCCUAUUUUCUUCUUCCUCGCUCUCUUGACCUCGUUAACCCUCCCGUGUUAAAGCCAGUGAAAAAGGAGGAAGGCAUGAAUACAACUGCACCCCUAUUUCUUCCUGCUGCUUCAUAGCUAGCUAUUUGAAAUUCUUUGGUUCCUUUAUUCAGGCAUUUUUGUUUUAAUGUUUAUUUAUUUAUUUGGAGAGAGAUAGAGACAGCAUGAAUGGGGGAAGGCAGAGAGGGAGAGAGAAUCCCCAGCAGGCUCCGCGCUGUCGGCACAAAGCCUGAUGGGGGGGUCCAUCUCACAUGGGGCCCAAUCUCAUGAACCUGAGCUGAAACCAAGAGUCAGAGGCUUAACUGACUGAGCCACCCAGGUGCCCCAUGCUGGCAUUUAUCUGCCAAGCAUGCAAAGAUAGAGAAGACCCGCUCGCUGCCUUUCGCAGUUAAAGUCCAUGCUCCAAAAAGGCUUGGAGAGGGGCUGUAAUGGCAGCAGUUUCUAGCUACUUCAGCCAUCGUAGGUAUGAUUGGAUGUUCCCAUCCUUUGUUUAAGGCCUGACAAAGUCCCAUUACAGCUUCCUACUCGCAAAAAUUUAGGCUACACCAGAUGAUUUAAAUGGUGUCCAGCAAAGAGUAGAAGAGCCCUGAGGCCAAGGUCCAUGAGUCUGGAGAUAAGGUAAGAAACUGUAUGUAAAACAAAAAAGGCAAGGCCAGGAAACAAGGUAGUAACCAAAGGAGAGGGACAAAAAUAGGUAAAAACUUAGAAUUCAGGAAUAAGACAGAACUAGAAAUUCUAAACUGGAUGACUGGUCAAGAAUCAGAAAGUCCGUGGGUAAUGGAAAGGUCAAGGCAUGCUAGGUAUUUCGGGGUAUGAACUGGCUAGAGCAGUGGGUAAAUUCGUGUUGACGUGUCUCAGGGGGUGUUCAGAAAUCAGAAUUUUUUUUAAUAUUUAUUUUUGGGGGAGUGCAAGCGGGGGCGGGGUUGGGGCAGAGAGAGGGGGACAGAGGAUCUGAAGUGGGCUCUGUGCUGACAGGCUGACAGCAGUGAGCCCAAUGUGGGGCUCGAACCCACGAACGGCGAGAUCGUGACCUGAGCCGAAAUCGGUUGCUCAACCGAUGGAGCCACCCAGGUGCCCCCAGAAAUCGGAAGUUUAAUUUGGCACAACUACUGUCCCAGCCAAGAAGCAGGAGGAAAUCUGAAGUCAAGGACCUGAUCCGUUCAGUCCUUCUGUACCCAGACUGCUUUCCAUUGCCUACAAAACUUACAAAGAUGCAACAAGCUGAAUCCAUCAUUCAAACUACCCAUCUGAUACAAAAAAAAAGUGUGGGCAUCCAAAGUGUCCUCUGAAAGAACGACAUGUAAGCAGAGAGAAGCUGUUAACCUGGAGGCUUCAUAUUAAAUGGGAAAUGGAAACAGCAGAGCCAAUUAUAGACAGAAAAACUGAGAACAGAGAGAUUACUUAACCUGCAUGGAGUCACAGGAUUCACAAGUAUUGAGCGCUAUGAUUCAAACGCAGAGAUUUUGGCUCCAGACUCUGAUUCUUUUAACUUCCAAAUUUGAUAGCCUUUCCAGAGAAACAUGUCCUGAGUGCCUACUACAGACCAAACACAAAAAUAAAACUUUAGUUUUUAGAAAACAUCAAUAAAACUCUGGAGUAAUAUACAGAAGUAGCUGGGAUACUUAACCCAGCUAAAGGGGAUAAGGAAGGUCUCCCAGAAGGAUGAACUAAAAUCUGGAGCAUCUUCAGGGCAAGAAGCAAUGGAAAAUGAGGCUGGAGAGUCAGCAGAGACAGAUCACAGCGGAGUCGCAUCAACUAGCUUACGCCUAAUCUUGCAGUUAGGAGCUUUUAAUCGAGUGGUUACCCACUGACGUAAGAGUUUUGCCAAUAUUACCCUGGCAUCUGUGCGAACAUGAUGUGAGGAGAAUCAGAUCGACAACAGGGACGGCGAUUAGGAGGCUGUGUUGUGCAGGGUAAAAGAUGUGGUCGAGGAUGGUGGUAACCAUGACGAUGAUGGCACGUGCUUGCCUGAACGAGGGCAUCACUACCUCUGCCACGGCCUGAAGUGGACUGUUCUCUCCAGGCCACGUUGAAUCCCCCACCUUUCGUCCACCUUCCUUCGGUAUCCACCUGCUACAGCCCCGCAUGGCCCCUACAACUUUGCUUGGAUAAGUGGAUUGCAAAUCAAGCUUGUAGUUCUUAUACUCAAACGGAGAGACGACGUCAUGUACGGAGGUGAACAUUCAGCCAGGGAUCGUAGCAUCUGGAUUCAGUUCUGGUGUUGCUUUUGAUUACUUGUGUCUCUUAACAUCUAGGAAUAUAUUUCAUUAUCCGUACAAACAGGGGCACUUUUGGAAAGGCCAGAAAUAGAGAAGGUGUCCAUAGCUUUUUCAGGGAUGAAUGUUACCUAUCUCCUGAAUACUAAAUGGUUAUUUUAUUAUAAUCCUGGGAAGUCUUUAAAUGUCUUUUUCUUAUUUUGAAAGAGACACCUCCGUUUUAUCAUUUUGCCUAAAACAAGCUUACAGUUAUUACCUUUAAAUCUGCAAACUAGCCAGGCUGUGCCCUUGGUUCACUUCUUUGGAAAUUCUAUGGAAGUCAGUGGCAUGUGGAAAUGAUUAUCUGACAGCUGAGCCUGGCCUGUGUUCCUGUGUGAUUAGCAUGGCGGGAGGCCAGAUAGAACUUGGGAAGCAAAGGGCUGUAUUUGCAUGAACAGUGCCCCUGGAACGUAAAUUUUAAAGGGGAUGCAUGAGGGAAAUAAUGACUCCAACAGACCCGUCUCGUCCUCUGUUUUCAUCUUCACCUACCAAGCACCCUUUGCUGUAAAGAUACAAGAUA